RNAcentral lists this transfer RNA (72 nucleotides) under Cricetulus griseus (Chinese hamster). It matches the Rfam family "tRNA". Rfam says of the family: Transfer RNA (tRNA) molecules are approximately 80 nucleotides in length. Their secondary structure includes four short double-helical elements and three loops (D, anti-codon, and T loops). Further hydrogen bonds mediate the characteristic L-shaped molecular structure. tRNAs have two regions of fundamental functional importance: the anti-codon, which is responsible for specific mRNA codon recognition, and the 3' end, to which the tRNAs corresponding amino acid is attached (by aminoacyl-tRNA synthetases). tRNAs cope with the degeneracy of the genetic code in two manners: having more than one tRNA (with a specific anti-codon) for a particular amino acid; and 'wobble' base-pairing, i.e. permitting non-standard base-pairing at the 3rd anti-codon position. The record is from Rfam by way of RNAcentral. Lineage: Eukaryota; Metazoa; Chordata; Mammalia; Rodentia; Cricetidae.
GAAGAUAUGGCUCAAUGGUAGAGCACUUGCCUAACAUGUAAGAGGCUCUAGGUUCAAACUCUAAAACUAUUA